Molecule: non-coding RNA, 431 nt
Organism: Chrysemys picta bellii (western painted turtle)
Lineage: Eukaryota; Metazoa; Chordata; Testudines; Emydidae
Source: RefSeq, a predicted model, not a curated record
GUUACCCAGGGCUCCCUCGGCUGCAAGCUCCACCCCAACGGCACCUCGAGGGGAUUCUGUGACGCUGCGGUGAACGGCGAGGACUUCAUCAGCUUCGACGUGGACACAGGCAAAUGGGUCAGUCGGCGGGGGGAUAAGCUGGGGAGCUACGUCCAGGAUCUUGUCAACCGGGAUAAGAGCAUAAGUUAGAAGGGGGCUUUGUCAUGAAACGUUGGGUUCGUCCUGCCAAGACUUCCCUGGAGCAUCGUGUCACGACCGACAGAACCCAGCUCCUCCCUACCCAUAAUCAACCUGGCUGGCCACUCGAUCGAUCCGCACUCUGGACUGGUAUCUAUGACAUCGACUGGCGGGACAGUGUGUGUGUGAUUGACUGCAUAUGCUAAUUGUUGUAUCUCCAAUAAACGUGGUGUGUUGCCUUUUCCCCUGAAAAA